CCUACGGGAGGCAGCAGUGGGGAAUAUUGGUCAAUGGACGAGAGUCUGAACCAGCCAAGUAGCGUGAAUGAUGACUGCCCUAUGGGUGUUAAACUUCUUUUAUAUAGUAAUAAAAUUUUCCACGUGUGGGAUUUUGUAUGUACCAUAUGAAUAAGGAUCGGCUAACUCCGUGCCAGCAGCCGCGGUAAUACGGAGGAUCCGAGCGUUAUCCGGAUUUAUUGGGUUUAAAGGGAGCGUAGGUGGAUUGUUAAGUCAUUUGUGAAAGUUUGCGGCUCAACCGUAAAAUUGCAGUUGAAACUGGUAAUCUUGAGUACAGUAGAGGGGGGCGGAAUUCGUGGUGUAGCGGUGAAAUGCGUAGAUAUGAGGAGGAACUCCGAUGGCGAAGGCAGCUCACUGGACUGAAACUGACGCUGAGGCUCGAAAGUGUGGGUAGCAAACAGGAUUAGAUACCCCUGUAGUC
Molecule: ribosomal RNA, 460 nt
Filed under: uncultured bacterium
Lineage: Bacteria
Description: partial 16S ribosomal RNA
Rfam family: Bacterial small subunit ribosomal RNA
Source: RNAcentral